Molecule: ribosomal RNA, 266 nt
Filed under: uncultured bacterium
Lineage: Bacteria
Description: partial 16S ribosomal RNA
Rfam family: Bacterial small subunit ribosomal RNA
Source: RNAcentral
GUCCACGCCGUAAACGAUGGGUACUAGGUGUUGGGGGUAUUGACCCCUCCAGUGCCGCAGUUAACGCACUAAGUACCCCGCCUGGGAAGUACGGCCGCAAGGCUAAAACUCAAAGGAAUUGACGGGGGCCCGCACAAGCGGUGGAGCAUGUGGUUUAAUUCGACGCAACGCGAAGAACCUUACCUGGGCUUGACAUCCCGGGAAUCCCCUGGAAACAGGGGGGUGCCCGCAAGGGAACCCGGAGACAGGUGCUGCAUGGCUGUCGU